RNAcentral lists this long non-coding RNA (244 nucleotides) under Lathyrus oleraceus (garden pea). Its description in RNAcentral is "Pisum sativum (pea) long non-coding RNA (PSAT_LNC006847)". Lineage: Eukaryota; Viridiplantae; Streptophyta; Magnoliopsida; Fabales; Fabaceae. The record is from RNAcentral.
UUUGUUAAGGUUUAAGAAAAGGUUUAUGGUUUAGAGGAAACAACACGGUUAAAGUUUUAGGUUUGAAAUUUAGAGUUUGUGGCGAAAUUGUCAGGGUUUAGGAAAAAUCAGGGUAGUUAGUUAUGAAAAAAAAUGUGCAGAUCUAAAUAUAUGUAUAUAAAAAAAAUAUGAAAAAAAAAAAACAACGGCGUUGCUAGCGCAAAAUUGCGAUCAUCGCAACUGGAUCGGAUAACACAAAUGUCAC